This 447-nucleotide ribosomal RNA is filed under the name uncultured bacterium. Its description in RNAcentral is "bacterial SSU rRNA". It matches the Rfam family "Bacterial small subunit ribosomal RNA", at positions 329 to 793 of the family's 1533-position model. The record is from RNAcentral.
CACCAGACUCCUACGGGAGGCAGCAGUGGGGAAUAUUGCACAAUGGGGGAAACCCUGAUGCAGCGACGCCGCGUGAGUGAAGAAGUAAUUCGCUAUGUAAAGCUCUAUCAGCAGGGAAGAAAAUGACGGUACCUGAGUAAGAAGCCCCGGCUAACUACGUGCCAGCAGCCGCGGUAAUACGUAGGGGGCAAGCGUUAUCCGGAUUUACUGGGUGUAAAGGGAGCGUAGACGGCAGUGCAAGUCUGGAGCGAAAGGCGGGGGCUCAACCCCCGGACUGCUCUGGAAACUGUACGGCUGGAGUGCAGGAGAGGUAAGUGGAAUUCCUAGUGUAGCGGUGAAAUGCGUAGAUAUCAGGAGGAACACCGGCGGCGAAGGCGGCCUGCUGGACCGUGACUGACGUUGAGGCUCGAGAGCGUGGGGAGCAAACAGGAUUAGAUACCCCGGUAC